RNAcentral lists this microRNA precursor (65 nucleotides) under Bombyx mori (domestic silkworm). Its description in RNAcentral is "mir-2774 microRNA precursor family". It matches the Rfam family "mir-2774 microRNA precursor family". The record is from Rfam by way of RNAcentral. Lineage: Eukaryota; Metazoa; Arthropoda; Insecta; Lepidoptera; Bombycidae.
AAAACAUUCGGACCGUCGGGUUUGAGCAAUAUCACCCGCUCGGUGAAAGAUCUUCCUUUUCUCGU